Pipistrellus kuhlii (Kuhl's pipistrelle) is the source of this 110-nucleotide long non-coding RNA. RefSeq lists it as uncharacterized. The transcript is spliced from 2 exons. NCBI's taxonomy places the organism in Eukaryota, Metazoa, Chordata, Mammalia, Chiroptera, Vespertilionidae. The record is from RefSeq and is a predicted model, not a curated record.
CCCUCUCCUUUCCUCUGUCUCUAAAAUCAAUAAAAACAAAUCUUAUAAAAAUAUGACAGAAAUGUGAGGCAAUAUGGAGAAUAAGUAUUUACACAUUUUAUUUGCAUCUC